GUUAUAUGGUCAAGUGACCAAGCGUGCACGGUGGAUGCCUUGGCAGUCAGAGGCGAUGAAGGACGUGGUAAUCUGCGAAAAGCUCGGGGGAGUUGAUAAACAAGCGUUAAUCCCGAGAUGUCCGAAUGGGGAAACCCACCCGCUUGCGGGUAUCGUAUGGUGAAUACAUAGCCAUACGAGGCGAACCCGGGGAACUGAAACAUCUAAGUACCCGGAGGAAAAGAAAUCAACCGAGAUUCCCUAAGUAGCGGCGAGCGAACGGGGAUUAGCCCUUAAGUUAGAUUGGUGUUAGUAGAAGGCUCUGGAAAGUGCCGCCGUAGAGAGUGAAAGCCUCGUAUACGAAAAUGCCCUUUUAAUGAAAUCGAGUAGGACGGGACACGUGGUAUCCUGUCUGAAUAUGGGGGGACCAUCCUCCAAGGCUAAAUACUCCUGACUGACCGAUAGUGAACCAGUACCGUGAGGGAAAGGCGAAAAGAACCCCUGUGAGGGGAGUGAAAUAGAUCCUGAAACCGUGUACGUACAAGCAGUGGGAGCGGACUUGUUCCGUGACUGCGUACCUUUUGUAUAAUGGGUCAACGACUUAUUUUCAGUAGCAAGGUUAAUCGCAUAGAGGAGCCGUAGGGAAACCGAGUCUUAAUAGGGCGUAUAGUUGCUGGGAAUAGACCCGAAACCGGGCGAUCUAUCCAUGGGCAGGUUGAAGGUUGGGUAACACUAACUGGAGGACCGAACCCACGUAUGUUGAAAAAUGCGGGGAUGACUUGUGGAUAGGAGUGAAAGGCUAAUCAAGCUCGGAGAUAGCUGGUUCUCCUCGAAAGCUAUUUAGGUAGCGCCUCGUAUCUCACCAUUGGGGGUAGAGCACUGUUUGGGCUAGGGGGUCAUCCCGACUUACCAACCCCAUGCAAACUCCGAAUACCAAUGAGUGCAAUUACGGGAGACACACGGCGGGUGCUAACGUCCGUCGUGGAAAGGGAAACAACCCAGACCGUCAGCUAAGGUCCCAAAGUUACAGUUAAGUGGGAAACGAUGUGGGAAGGCUUAGACAGCUAGGAGGUUGGCUUAGAAGCAGCCAUCCUUUAAAGAAAGCGUAAUAGCUCACUAGUCGAGUCGGCCUGCGCGGAAGAUAUAACGGGGCUAAACUGUACACCGAAGCUACGGAUGC
RNAcentral lists this ribosomal RNA (1159 nucleotides) under Marinomonas sp. S3726. RNAcentral's name for it is "bacterial LSU rRNA". It matches the Rfam family "Bacterial large subunit ribosomal RNA", at positions 1 to 1209 of the family's 2925-position model. The record is from RNAcentral. Lineage: Bacteria; Pseudomonadati; Pseudomonadota; Gammaproteobacteria; Oceanospirillales; Oceanospirillaceae.